AGCUCCGUGGUGUAUAACAUUUCGGAUUGCAAAUCCGAAGAAGUAGGCUAACAGCCUACCGGGGCUU
RNAcentral lists this transfer RNA (67 nucleotides) under Pareuchiloglanis longicauda. RNAcentral describes it as "tRNA-Cys". It matches the Rfam family "tRNA". Rfam says of the family: Transfer RNA (tRNA) molecules are approximately 80 nucleotides in length. The record is from RNAcentral. Lineage: Eukaryota; Metazoa; Chordata; Actinopteri; Siluriformes; Sisoridae.